Molecule: ribosomal RNA, 952 nt
Rfam family: 5.8S ribosomal RNA (bases 250-404)
CGUAACAAGGUUUCCGUAGGUGAACCUGCGGAAGGAUCAUUACCACACCUAAAAAACUUUCCACGUGAACUGUCAAACCUGUUCUGUGCUUGUGCUGGGUCUGCGUUUUCGGACGCGGACGCGGCGGAGGCUGAACGAAGGCUGGUUUCAUUUGUAUGAGAUCAGCUGAUAUAUUUUUUCAAACCCCUUUUUUACAAAAUGACUGAUCAAUACUGUGAGAACGAAAGUUCUUGCUUUAAACUAGAUAACAACUUUCAGCAGUGGAUGUCUAGGCUCGCACAUCGAUGAAGAACGCUGCGAACUGCGAUACGUAAUGCGAAUUGCAGAAUUCAGUGAGUCAUCGAAAUUUUGAACGCAUAUUGCACUUUCGGGUUAGACCUGGAAGUAUGUCUGUAUCAGUGUCCGUACAUCAAACUUGCCUCUCUUUUUUCUGUGUAGUCAGGAUUGGAGACGUGCAGAUGUGAAGUGUCUCGCGCACUUGCGUCUUCGGACGACAAGCUGUCGAGUCCUUUUAAAGCGACACGAUCUUUCUAUUGUUUCUGUGAAGCGUAUUGCUCGAACGCGGUGAUUUUCGGAUCGCUCGCAGUCGUCGGCGACUUCGGUGAGAACAUAAAGGAGGAAACCUCAAUUCGCGGUAUGUUCGGCUUCGGCUCGACAAUGUUGCUUAUUGUGUGUGGAAUCUGUUUUCGCCUUGAGGUGUACUGAUGGUUGUGUGCUUGAACUGGGAGUUGGUGUGUAGUAGAGUGGUGCAGCAUGCAUGGUUACGCCUUUUAUAUAGAGAGAUGUCUAUUUGGGAAAGUUGUACUGUUUGGCAAGCAUCUUGCCGACUGUAUCUCAAUUGGACCUGAUAUCAGACAAGACUACCCGCUGAACUUAAGCAUAUCAAUAAGCGGAGGAAAAGAAACUAACAAGGAUUCCCCUAGUAACGGCGAGUGAAGCGGGAUGAGCUCAA